CAUUUUGUGGGUGGGUUACGCUUCCCCUGCUCUGGUCUUCCCCCUCCCGUCCUACUGCUGCCCUUUAGUUUCGCCGCUGUCCGCAUCCCGCUUAGCGAACGGAUGCUGCGUGAAGGCCAAGUGUUCUUAAUCCCGAGCAUGGAGUGUCCGGGGGGGGGGCGGGGGGAGGAUGUGGUAGAGAUGAAGGGCUCGAGUAGAUUCUUGGGAGCUUCAGGCAACAGCCUGGGACUAAAGGUAACCUUGAGGAAAUGCCAACCGCUAUAUUCCCUGAUACAAAAGUAGGAGAUGUUUCUAUCGCCCAAGUGUGUGUGUGACCAUUUGCCUUAACUUCCCACGGAAAAUUAUCCGCCGUUGCAGUAAACACGUACCAGUUGCACCGGUGGGGAUUCAGCUAUGAGCGGAAAAGCGGCACGAGGAAGCCCCUUACUAAUGCAGGUUUUUGUUAAGAUUGGAGGGAAGUUGCCGAUUUCUGCGAAACUCUGAAAGCUAUUAAAAACCCGCCCCCUUUAGUGUUGGAGGAAUCGAUGCAGGGAUAUCUAUGCAUUAGGACCGCGAUUCCGUACACUCUUGCUAAAUUUUAAGUUACCCUGAACUUGAUGGGACUUAAUGCCAAAUAAAUGUAGGUGGGAUAGAAUAUGUUAGAUUCUGGGUGAAGAGGCUGUAUUUCAUUGAUUGCAGCCCCUUCUGUAUUUACAAUAUCAAUUGUUGGCAAAACUGGAUUGGCUAAAACUGUGUGGAGAAGGGACUAUUCCUUAGGUGGUGUGAGCCAAAAUUUGCUCAGCUAUGAAUGUUUGUAUGUAACUUUAAUGUGUUGACAGCAUUUCACGUGGUAGUGUUUUAUCCUUAACAAGUCUGUAAGAUUUUUUAGCUUCUACAUGGGUGGUUAGGGUUUAAGUGGUUGCAGAAACGUAAUUUAAAUACUUGUAUGAUUCUUUAACUGUAAUUAUGAAAUAUAAAUAUUGCAAAGAAGAAAACAUAAUUGUAAAUAUAGUCUAACAAACUAGGCUACAACAGCAUCCAUUGUUGGGUAGCGUAUACCAUGAAUCAUCACUUUUCUAAGUAAAAGUUAAGUAAAAUACGGUAAAGUGGUAUGUGCAAGGCCCGUUAAUUUAAUAGGUGAAUUAAAGCACUUGUGCAGUACUACUGCUGCUCUAUUAUUUCUUUUUGUGUCUUGAUUGUUUGCUUAAUUCUGUAAUCUGAUUUUAAAUCUUGCCUGUAUGUUCUAGGAAUGAAAAUUUUAUCAGUGCUGAUACAAAAAACUGAUUAUGAAAACAGCAGCAUACCUAGAAAAGUUUUUAAUGGAAGAGAAUGGAUUUUCCUGAGUACAUUAUGGUCUGAUGGAACUUUUUUCUGAUAAAGGUUAGCAGGAAGCUGGGCAGAAACUGGGAUGGAUUGGGCUCCUGAUGAUCCAUUUCCUAACCUGCAUAAAGCAAGUGGAAUACCUUGGAUUGUGAAAUGAAUGUUUUUGGGCUGAAGACUAAAGCCAGUCUAUGAUGUCUACUGUAAAAACAAAGUGCUAAGAAGUCGAAUGGGAACAUUACAUGAAGCCUUCGUGUGUAGCCACAUCCUGCAUGAAGUCAAAACAACUUCAAGCUUUUGGGGAAAUCAGCUUGCAAUUUAUCAAAGCAAUAAACAUUUAAAACCUUGUUAAAAUUUUGUAUGCAUGAGGAGGGACCACAAAAAACCAGGAACUAUUUUUUUCAAAGGUAGGCACCUUGUAGUACAGGCUUCCUAUCCUACCUACUAGGUGGGUGUUGUAGGAACCCAUCUGCAUCAGAGUACCAGCUGGGUUGUUAGAGGCUGUGUUUUGCUUUGAUGAAUGUUUUUUGGAGACUUUCUAUCCAUUAUUUGCCUAUUUUGUGAGGAUUGAUUUACAUGAACAAUAUGUGGUGGUGAAAUUGUUUCCUGUUGGGGAAAAAUGCAGGGGAGAUGGUUAUGCUACAGAAAGCUUACAAGGAAGCUGCUCUGAGUAAAACAUAAGCUUAUGAAUGAUUUUUCCUGUUUUAAAUGCAACAAAAUGUCAAUUGAUCAAACUCAUUCCAGUUGUCCUUCAACCAGUCAAACUGAUGAAAAUGUAAAUUCAUCAAGCCAUCUUGUAAGAUCACUGUCAGACCAUUGAACUUGUGGAGUUCCUGUCUGAAUUUUAUUGGAUGACUUGGGCAUGGAACAAGUUGCAGCAAAAUUUGUGCCUCACUUGCUCAUGCCUGAACAAAGACAAUUGCUUGGCUGCAUGCCAUGCUUUGAAGGAGCAGUUGGAGGCAACAGCAGGGGCUUGGACCUGAUGGUCUUCAUGGCCCCUUCCAGUUGUACCAUUCUGUGAUUUUAUGGCCCUGUUUUUUUUUUCUGAAAGUCAUAACCAGAGAUAUGACUUAGUGCUAUGCCUACAACCCUGAAAUGAAUAGCAGUUCAGCUAAUGGAAGACUGCCACAUCCCCAUGACCCAAAAAAACAUGGCAAGUGAAGUUGAAUGUGAAAACAUGUUUCUUUUCAGGUGAGAGGGAUUGUGCACUCAGAAUUUGUUCCUCUAGGUCAAACAGUCAAAGUUUUUAUCUGGAAGUUUUGAGAAUGUUGCAUCACUAAAGAAGUGUCCUGGGUUGUGGCAGAGGUGACUUGUUCCUCCACCAGAACAACACCUGCCUACACCAUGCUGAGUAUUCAGUUUGACUAAAAAGGCAUGACCCUUGUGCCUCACUCUUCCUAUUCACCCAAUCUUACUCCAUGUGACUUUGUUUCUCCAGAAGAAAAAGGUCCUCAAAGGGAAAGAUUGUCAAUGUGGAAGAGGUGGGAACAAAGAGGCACUAAAAGGCAUCAAAAUGGAUGAGUUCAAAAGCUGUUUUUGUGCAGUGGAAAAAAAUGAUGUAUUGCAUCAAAUGUACUUUGAAGGUGACUGAAGUUUGAACAUGUAAAAAUACUUAAAUCCUGAGGUUUUUGGGUUCCUGCCUCAUUGAUAUUUGUCUUGUAUAACCUUCCUCAAGCAGUAUAUAAGUAGUCCCUGGGGUUAUGAACAUAUGGGUUAUGAAAAACCUGCACUUGCAAACAUGGGCUACCCUAAGCAUCAGUUGCUGCAUAGUUCCCUAGAGAUACAAUAUUCACGGCAUUUUGUUCUGCACUGUUGGCUCAAGCGUACCCAAGCCAGUGUGUUUCAAGGAAUGUGUAGGGUGCCUAGUUCACUUUUUUUGCAAUUUUCCUUCUAACCAUUCCCUUGAAGUAGGGAUGGCAAAGUUCAGAGGAGCAAGAUCCUAGCAUGAAAGGUUUCUUAAAAGUUUACUGUGCAGUUGCUGCUACAAGACCAUUUAUGAGGAAAAAAUGGCUGCACAAACCAUUAAUGCCUGCUUUAAAAAGUGACUCAAGUGGUAACCUGUCACCAGCACCCCCAGCAGCCUGGCUCCAGCACCAAGUCCACUUCCAACAGUUUAGAUUGUUACCUAAACUGUUCUAAAUAUUCUAAACUGUUUUGUGUAAUACUGUACACACAGACCUCUCUGCUCAGUACUCAUACUUUAUUACUGUUAUUACAAUGCUGUAUUAAAGAUACUUUGGUCAAUA
Molecule: long non-coding RNA, 3545 nt
Organism: Varanus komodoensis (Komodo dragon)
Lineage: Eukaryota; Metazoa; Chordata; Lepidosauria; Squamata; Varanidae
Exons: 6
Source: RefSeq, a predicted model, not a curated record